Molecule: microRNA, 22 nt
Filed under: Blattella germanica (German cockroach)
Lineage: Eukaryota; Metazoa; Arthropoda; Insecta; Blattodea; Blattellidae
Also listed under: 11 other names
Description: Bge-Mir-2765_5p (mature (guide))
Source: RNAcentral
UGGUAACUCCACCACCGUUGGC